This 239-nucleotide ribosomal RNA is filed under the name Ambystoma californiense (California tiger salamander). RNAcentral describes it as "partial 12S ribosomal RNA". Lineage: Eukaryota; Metazoa; Chordata; Amphibia; Caudata; Ambystomatidae. The record is from RNAcentral.
AGAAACCCAAAUUAAUUAACAACGGCUCAAAGAGCGGUUAAAUGAAUACUUUACUCAAUAGUUUAAAAAAUUAACUAAGCCGUUAUACGCAGUAGUUAAAUCUAAAAUCAAUAACGAAAGUAAUACUAAUAAAUUAAAAAUAUUUGAAGCCGCGAAAGCUAUGACACAAACUGGGAUUAGAUACCCCACUAUGCCUAGCCAUAAACUUUGAUCUUUCCGCCAGAGUACUACGAGCAAUA